CCUUACUGCAACACUGCGCAUGUACCUUUGCGUUUCCCUUUGCUUGCUCCCAAGUUUGAUUUUAGUCUACGGUUCAGUUAAAAAAUACUGGUUUAGUGCCUAUUGUCAGACACGGUGUACAGGCUGAGGCUACAGACCUCACCAUCUGCGUGGACAAGUAAUAAAUAAGAUUCUGAAGAGAUUCUGGAGCUGAAAGUACUGGUUCUACAUCCUGGUCACUGAGAGGUAAAGGGUCACCUGAUGACUCCAGCAUCUGCUUAAGUCCAACUACAUUGUCCAACAAAGAAUCCAGAUUGUCGUCAUCUUUUGAAUGCUCC
This is a long non-coding RNA of Callithrix jacchus (white-tufted-ear marmoset), 317 nucleotides long. RefSeq lists it as uncharacterized. The record is from RefSeq and is a predicted model, not a curated record. NCBI's taxonomy places the organism in Eukaryota, Metazoa, Chordata, Mammalia, Primates, Cebidae.